RNAcentral lists this transfer RNA (75 nucleotides) under Camelus bactrianus (Bactrian camel). It matches the Rfam family "tRNA". From Rfam's summary of the family: Transfer RNA (tRNA) molecules are approximately 80 nucleotides in length. Their secondary structure includes four short double-helical elements and three loops (D, anti-codon, and T loops). RNAcentral also lists the same sequence under 2 other names. The record is from Rfam by way of RNAcentral. Lineage: Eukaryota; Metazoa; Chordata; Mammalia; Artiodactyla; Camelidae.
GAGGAUAUAGCUCAGUGGUAGAGCACGUCGUGCGUAGCAUGCACGAGGUCCUGGGUUCAAUCCCCAGUACCUCCA